RNAcentral lists this ribosomal RNA (292 nucleotides) under uncultured bacterium. RNAcentral describes it as "partial 16S ribosomal RNA". The record is from RNAcentral. RNAcentral also lists the same sequence under 1 other name.
GGACUACCGGGGUAUCUAAUCCUGUUUGCUCCCCACGCUUUCGUGCCUCAGCGUCAGGAAAGGCCCAGCCGCCCGUCUUCACCAUCGGCAUUCCUGUAGAUAUCUACGCAUUUCACCGCUCCACCUACAGUUCUGGCGGCCCCUACCUUCCUCAAGACCCGCAGUAUGCCCCGCUGUUCCACGGUUGAGCCGUGGGCUUUCACGAAGCACUUGCGGGCCGGCCUACGCACCCUUUAAGCCCAGUGAUUCCGAUUAACGCUCGGGGCCUCUGUCUUACCGCGGCGGCUGGCAC